RNAcentral lists this ribosomal RNA (534 nucleotides) under Triticum aestivum (bread wheat). RNAcentral describes it as "partial small subunit ribosomal RNA". The record is from RNAcentral. Lineage: Eukaryota; Viridiplantae; Streptophyta; Magnoliopsida; Poales; Poaceae.
AAAACCGCAUUCAAAACAAAAUUUGGUUCAUAUGAGUGGUUAGUUAUGCCUAUGGGUUUAUCGGAGGCUCCCAGUACUUUCAUGCGUCUCAUGCAUCAUAUACUUCACCCUUACAUUGGAGUCUUUGUUGUGGUUUACUUCGAUGAUAUUCUUGUGUCUAGCAAAACCAUGAAAGAGCAUCUUGAUCAUGUUACGGCCGUUUUGCAAACACUUUGCAAGGAAAGUCUUUAUGCCAACAUGAAAAAGUGCACAUUUGGUGUUGACAAAGUGGUUUUCUUGGGUUUCGUUGUAUCUUCCAAGGGUGUCCAUGUUGAUGAAACUAAAAUUGAAGCAAUUAAAACAUGGCCCCAACCCACCAAUUUGCAACAAGUGCGUAGUUUUCUUGGUCUUGCGGGUUUUUAUCGUCACUUUGUGAAAGACUUUAGCACUAUUGCCGCUCCUUUGCAUGCUUUGAGUAAGAAGAAUGCUCCUUUUGUUUGGGGAUCUUUGCAAUCCACCACUUUUGAUGAGCUCAAGUCUUUGCUUACUCAUGCC